CCAAGUCUUGGCUAAAGGAGAGACAAGUUAAUAAUCAGAUCAAGGCUGGUUGAGACGGAUCUUUAUGCCAAGUGAUGAAAAGGUUUGUUUGGGGACUAUUUGGUGUUUGAGACGACACUUCCUCCAUCAGUUUUGCAGUAAGGUAAAGGGACCCCUGACCGUUAGGUCCAGUUGCAGACGACUCUAGGGUUGCAGCGCUCAUCUCGCUUUACUGGCCGAGGGAGCCGGCGUACAGCUUACGGGUCAUGUGGCCAGCAUGACUAAGCCGCUUCUGGCGAACCAGAGCAGCACACGGAAACGCCGUUUACCUUCCCGCCUAUUUAUCUACUUGCACUUUGACAUGCUUUCGAACUGCUAGGUUGGCAGGAGCAGGGACCGAGCAACGGGAGCUCACCCCGUACACACUACUACUACUACUACUACUAUUUCUGACCGGGCACUGUUUCCGACUGCAGUAUUCUGGCUAUGUCUGGAUGCAUGGAACCUCUACCAUAGCCACAGCCUUUAAUUCAAUUUUAAAAAUAAGCAUCUCUCCUCCCAGGCUUCUGCCUGCAGCCUGCUUCUGUCUCAGCUCUCUUAUCACAUAGACCUUAACUUUUGUCUUUCUAACUACCACCCAGUUCAAGGAUGGAGGCCAACUUAUUUGUCCUCUGGCACAAAACCACUUCAUUUGUUACCCUAAUGACCCAUACUUAGGGGCCCUUGAAUUGAAUCCUCCAUUUGAUUUUAACCCUUGCUGGAUCCAGGAAUUAGAAGAGAUUCAGGCAUACAGGUGACCCUCCCCACACUCCUCAACUCACAAUAUUAUUAUGGCACAGCCAUAAGGAUUUUAUGAAAUACAGUGGUGCCUCGCAAGAUGAAUGCCUCGCAAGACGAAAAACGCGCAAGACGAAAGAGUUUUCCGUUUUUUGAGUCGUUCCGCAAGACGAAUUUCCCUGUGGGCAAGACGAAACGUCUUGCGAGUUCUUGCGAGUUUGUUUCCUUUUUCUUAAAGCCGCUAAGCCGUUAAUAGCCACUAAGCCGCUAAGCCAUUAAUAGCCGCUAAGCCGCUAAUAGCCGCUAAGCCGCUAAUAGCCGUGCUUUGCAAGACGAAAACCGCAAGACGAAGAGACUCGCGGAACGGAUUAAUUUCGUCUUGCGAGGCACCACACUACAGAUUAAAUGAUUAUCAGGUUUGGGCCUCAAGAUGGCGUUGCUGCCUUGUACAUACUGGAGUAAUAAUUAUUAAUACUGGAUUAAUAAAACACAUCUACUAAAGGUGGUUGUGUGUGUGUGUGUGUGUGUGUGUGUGUGUGUGUGUAAAUCCAAAUGUAUGGCAAGACAUGUCGGAGGUGUAGAUUCUGGUGAAUUUCCUUUGCAAAACAAGCUCAACAACAUUUGUGUCCAGAUUUUCACUUUUUGAAGUAUGGCAUGAUAAAACUCACAAAACUGAUGGUGCACGGACACUAUAAAAACUGGUGAGAUUACGUUUUGAUUGUGUCUCUAGAUCUGUAUAUGCUCCAUACUUUUGUAAUUUCCAGAAUCUAGUUCUUGAAAUAAUUUGGCUUGUAGGGGUCAACUGAAGAGAUUCAUGAUCUCACUAGAUGCUGCUCACAUAUGUUGAAUCUUUAUCUAACCUCUUAGAGCACCACGAUUUAGAAGAAGAAUUUGUAGAAAUCGCAUAUAUUAUCACCUGUGUGUACCUCAUGCUUCCAUUUCUAAGGGGCAAGACUACAUAUUGCUAUUAUUGAGAAUCCUUUUGUUUUACCCCACACUUUCCCUGUCCGUAAUCCUAAACCCAGUACCCCUCCCAGUUAUGACUCUUGAGACAAUUUCACUGACUUUUUAUUUAUAACCUAUGCCUACUCUAAGACGUCAUGAUUCUGAUGGUACCACGUAAGAUAUAACUGACCUGCCUAUUAUAUUGGCCAGAGUGGGAUGUGUUCAUAGAAAAGAAAACACACAAUGCUCGCGAACCUGCAGAAGGUCAAUUAAUUUCAAAUUUUAUUUGUCGCUUAGAAAAAGAAGAGCAAUCAUUGAUUAGCACUGGGAACCACCUGUCUGCAAGUAGCUACUGACAAAGAUGUUGUCAGGUGGAAAAGUACUGGAAAUAUAUCUAAGCUUUUAGCAAGCAUCUGUAUAUGUGGCUAUAGAACUAAAUAUACAAAAUAUACAUACAGUGGUGCCUCGCAAGACAAAUGCCUCGCAAGACGAAAAACGUGCAAGACGAAAGAGUUUUCCAUUUUCUGAGUCGUUCCGCAAGACGAAUUUCCCUAUGGGCUUGCUUCACAAGACGAAACGUCUUGCGAGUUCUUGCGAGUUUGUUUCCUUUUUCUUAAAGCCGCUAAGCCGUUAAUAGCCGCUGAGCCGCUGAGCUGCUAAUAGCCGUGCUUCGCAAGACGAAAAAACCGCAAGACGAAGAGACUCGCGGAACGGAUUAAUUUCGUCUUGCGAGGCACCACUGUAUGCAAUAUACAUAUACAAAUAUACUAAAUAUACUAAAUAAACAAGAUGUCACAAAGCUAAGGUAUUUGACACAGAACAACAGCGCAGGGAGUUAUUAGAGAGCUGUAGCUGGUAGCAAAGUGACAAUUUCCUUGAGCAUCGUACAAAGAACUUGAACUGCUGACAACGCAAACACAGGAGUGUCUAACCACAGACCCAGUUAUGCUAUUAUAUAGUACUUUUUGUGUCUACUUAGCAGUUUGUAUAUUGGACUAUGUGCCCUACAUUUACAGCUUGGACAGGAGAAAGGGAAUCUGAUUUAUUUUUAGAAAUCCCAACAAAUGCUCUUUCUUUCUUUUUCUUAUUCAUCAGAGUUAACCUGCAUCUCUCUCUCUCUCUUUACAGUAUUCAACAAUCAAGAACACACAUUCUUGCAGUGUAAUAAUAACAUUGUAAGAUCAGUGAAUGGCUUGCUAGCACAGGUGAAAAGUAUUUAAACAGCCAAUUGCUGAUUAAUGUAAUGAUUUAAUCUAGCCUUCCUUCUCUUGAUGUGUGGGUUCAUACUUUCUUAUCUUCAGAUAAGGAAUAAACUUGUAUGCUGUAAGACUUGAGCAUCACUGAGUUCCUCAACAGAACCUCUUGAGUACCAGAUUUCACACACACACACACACACACACACACACACACACACACACAAUAAAAGAAGUGGGGGAGUAUGGCAAAAAUAAAAAUGGGGUUGUGCGAAUUAGCGUUAAAACUCGUAACCAAAACCAAAUGAGGCUUUUGCAAAAACUGCAAUUAAAGCAGUAAAGGAAAUACGGAAAAUAUAGGAGCUUAUUUGCUAAUAUUAGAAGACAGAGGAGGUGUGCUUGGUUUUAAAAAGAAAUAAUAUAAAUAGUGAGCAAAACAGAAACAAGUUGGAAUGGAGGAAGAGAAAUUAAUUAUCCAAAGAUAUAGACCCUAUAGAAUAAAGGACAGAAAGGGGUGCAUGGUUUCUGUGUUGCAAUGGCCCAUCCACACUGUACAUUUAAAGCAGUAUUCCCCAAAGAAUUCUGGGAGUUGUAGUUUCAAUUCAUUUUCCCAAUGAAUCCUGGGAGUUGUAGUUUGUUAAAGGCACUGGCAGAAAGUUGUUAGGAGAGCUCCCUCACAGAACUACAAUUACCAGAAUGGUUUAGCAAUUCCUCUUUUAAUGGAACUCAGAGAACUGUAGUUUUGUGAGGAGAAUAUGACUCUCCAAACAAACUACAGUUCCCAGGGUUCAUUGGGGGGGGAGCUAUGAUUGUUUCUGACGGUAUGAAACAAUACUGUUUUAAAUGUAUAGAACAGAUGGAGCCUCUGUAUGUGAGACGGGGGCAAAAUGGCACAUGUGGUUCUGUGUUAAGAACAUGUAAAUUACGUACCCUGGGGCAAAAACAUGUCAGGAAUGUUUGUAAAAUUAAGAGAAAAACGUUUCCUUCUGUGUGUACACAAUUACCAAGCAAACCUUUAUCGGGGCCUCAUAGUUCAGAUUAGGGGUUUUCCGACCUCUCCUCCCAGACCCUCCAAGUGACCUUAUUUUUCAGGGACAGUCCUGGAUUUACAGAAGCCGUCCUGGUUUCUGAUUUGAUCUGGAAUGUCCCAAUUUCCCUUAAAAAGCUAAAGGGACCCCUGACCGUUAGGUCCAGUCGCGGAUGACACUGGGGUUGCGGCGCUCAUCUCGCUUUAUUGGCCGAGGGAGUCGGCGUACAGCUUCCGGGUCAUGUGGCC
This 4170-nucleotide long non-coding RNA is filed under the name Podarcis lilfordi (Lilford's wall lizard). Lineage: Eukaryota; Metazoa; Chordata; Lepidosauria; Squamata; Lacertidae. The record is from RNAcentral.